GGAAGGGUCGCUCAGCGGUAGAGCACCGCGGUGCCACUCCGCGGCGGCAUUUCGCCUCGUGGCGUUCAAAUCCCACCCCUUCCG
Molecule: transfer RNA, 84 nt
Filed under: Natrinema salaciae
Lineage: Archaea; Methanobacteriati; Methanobacteriota; Halobacteria; Halobacteriales; Natrialbaceae
Description: tRNA_Gly_GCC
Rfam family: tRNA
About the family: Transfer RNA (tRNA) molecules are approximately 80 nucleotides in length. Their secondary structure includes four short double-helical elements and three loops (D, anti-codon, and T loops). Further hydrogen bonds mediate the characteristic L-shaped molecular structure. tRNAs have two regions of fundamental functional importance: the anti-codon, which is responsible for specific mRNA codon recognition, and the 3' end, to which the tRNAs corresponding amino acid is attached (by aminoacyl-tRNA synthetases). tRNAs cope with the degeneracy of the genetic code in two manners: having more than one tRNA (with a specific anti-codon) for a particular amino acid; and 'wobble' base-pairing, i.e. permitting non-standard base-pairing at the 3rd anti-codon position.
Source: RNAcentral